This is a long non-coding RNA of Procambarus clarkii (red swamp crayfish), 2410 nucleotides long. RefSeq lists it as uncharacterized. Lineage: Eukaryota; Metazoa; Arthropoda; Malacostraca; Decapoda; Cambaridae. The record is from RefSeq and is a predicted model, not a curated record.
GUGUCUUACCUCACUUGUGGUGUGAAGUUCUAGGUUCGUCUCUUGAAGUUGCGUCAAGCGGUUGACUCUUCAAGCGGCACCAUUGUUCUUGCCAGUUUCCUGCAUUUAAGGUAUCCCAGCUUGCAUUUGGCUGUCGACCACAGAUGAAGGGUCAGCCUUAAAGGGCACGGACAAGUGGACACUCCAUCCUGUGGAACCCUGUGUAACUUCUGUCAACAUUAUACACGAAAAGUGGUGGCAAGAACCAUUUCUCGGUGCGUGAACACAUGGGUACAGCUGGGAUAAAGAAAAUUCUUACAGCCUAGCCUUGCUAGACGCUUGCAGCUAUUCUUAUGGGACAAGGAAAACUUAUUGAGAAGUUUGAUCGGCUUGACGUGGAUCAGCGGCAGAAGGACCUAGCGCUGGAUUUUGUCAUUCGGGUAAUGUGGUGCAGCAAGUGACUCUGGAGGAUCAUUAGUUUAUUAAACUGUACGAAAUGGUCAGAGCAGAAAAUGUCACCAUACGGUGUUUGGUAAAUAGUUUACGGUGAGGGCACCCAUAAGGGAGUGAAUGGUAGACAUAUGUAAAAUAUUUAUUGUGGGAAAAGUGCUAAGAUUUGUUUUGAGAAACUUAGGUCCUGUAGUUGAUAACGGUAAAAAUAAUUGUAAAUAGAAAUGGUUAGGUGGGGGGGGGGGGGGGGUUGUAAAUAUUAGGCACGUGUUGUGCUAAUGCCAAUGAACUGUAAUGUGUGAAUGUAAAAUUUGCUAAGAGAUGUAGAAUGCAGCAGGACAAAAUAGCUUGCCUUGUUGAUAGAGCGAAAAGUACAGAGGGGUUUUGUUGAAAUGUUAAAAUUAUAGUUCACCGUAGCACUGAGGCAAUAAUCAUAUAAUAAACAAUGUUUUAUAGGUAUGAUGUAAAAUGUGCAAUCAAAGGACCUUAAAUGUUGUCAAUGUCUGUAAAAGAAUGUAUUAAAUGGUAAUAAAAAAAUAAGGAAACAUUUUAAUACUUAACUUUGUAUUUAAUAUAUGUAUUAAAUAGUAGGAAGACUCAGACCAAGCUUAGUCCAUAUGGCAUUGAAAGUAAUUAUGUGAAAUAGUAUAGUGAAAUCUUUAGCGUUGCUUGACGCUGUAAGAACAAUGUUUGUGAAUGGAUAGAUAAGAUCAUAAAAAAAUGAAUAUUGUCAAUAGUUAAAAUAUAAAGAAAUGAGUAUCGGUUCUGUAAAUAGUAGGCAGAGUAGAUAACCUCAUAUGGAGAGUUUCGGGAAACUAUGAAUUGUCAUGUAUUUAAAGAAUGGUAAGUAGGUAAAAUAGGUAAUUUGAAUGUAGUUCGUUGCGUUUUCAGUAAUAAUAGGUAGAUUAUAGAGGCGGCAUAACUUAGUGUGGCGAAUGUGAUAUUAGAAAUAGCUCAUAAACGUGUUUAGGGCCAAAUUGUUGUCAUAUGUAGGGAGGUAUGAGUGUUGUAUGAAUAAAUAGUAGGGUACAUAUGCUUUGAUAUGUUUACACAAACAUGUAAACUGUAUUCAUGAUAGGAAUGAUGGUUGAGGCACACAUAAAAGCUUCAUGUGUUGCUGUGGCCUAGUUAGUGAAUAUGGAGUGUAGCCUUGAUAUAUUAAUAAAUGUACAGAGAAUAUAGUGACUAAUGAAAUGUUAUGGCAAUAUAUUGACUAGAUAGUAGUAUAUGUACGUUAUUGAUUAGUAUUUUAUAGGUUGAAUGUAAUAUUGAUGUAGGAAGUGUUACAAUUGUACUAGCUUUGUAGAUAAGUUAUAUCCUAGUUACGUAUAGAAGAAUAGGACUUGAGUGAGUGACAAUAUAAGCGUUGUUAUGGAUAUAAUGUAAAACAUAUUGUUAAAACGGCGAUAAUGUUUGAAUGUGUUAGCAAGUACUUGUUUCAUAACUGUCCAAAGUGUGUUUUGGUUUGACUCCUAGGGCCAGAAGGACUUGUACUAUGUAACGAUGGGGACGUAAGUAAUACAAUACAAUUUUCCUCACACACAUGACAUCUAGUCUAAAAACUCCUGAGAUUGACAAUUAUUCUUCAUUCACGUAACUAUUGAAAUUUACCGGUUAUGCACAAACCAACAUGUCUUUAUUUACAUAAUACAUACAAUCAUGGCUAACUCAAUAAUUAUCAGAAGCCACCAAACCGGGAAGGCUAUGUACAAUCCUGGAUAAGAUAACUAUUUAAAGAGCCCAGCAGUCAAGAGCAACUAAAAAAAAAAACACUAUGUAAAUCCACAAUACAAUCUCAUCUAAUCACAAUCUGCCACAUGUUCAAUAUUUCCCUCUAAAGUAACUCAUACUAAAUUCCUUACCUUCCCACACGCUUACAAAUUUAAUAAAAUUAUCACUAACCAUUUUUCAGUUCUUUCUCAUUACCAUUUCUUACAUCCUAUUGUCCUUUACUUGUAUAUUUCUGGACUAUUCUUUAUAU